CUGACAACUACUCGCUCUCCAUUUCCUUGGCCGUCCUCUCAAGCAUCGAACAUUGAUGCACCUUUUUCAGGGAGGUAUUACCCUAAGCAUCGAACAUUGAUGCACCUUUUUCAGGGAGGUAUUACCCUAAGCAUCGAACACAUCUUCAUAACAAAGUACAAGCAUGUCAUUCACUGAUGCAACCCUUUUUGUGCUCAGGGGGGCAACCCUGAUACCAUUGGAUCCACCGAUCCGAACAGGAGUUAGUCCUCGUUCACCGAAAAAAUACCGACGAAGCAAGGACAAUCAAAAUCCACUCAAACUACCACUCAGAUGCACACUGGAAAGAUGGUCAAAAACUGCAUUUCUAUGGUAACGGUGACGCAACAGCCCGCAUUGAAAGCGAGAAAGACUGCAAGGUCAUUCCAAUAUACCUGAUUCCCUUAGAUUCCGAUACCCUCAAGAGUUGAGAAAUUAUGCUCAUUGUCAGAAUCAUAAAACUUGAAAGGAAUUUACAACUAGUAUGAACAAAACAUGACUAAACGAAUGUACAACGAAAAUAAUUAAAAGACAAAAAAAACAUGAGAACUGAAGUAAGGUAAUGCCAAAAAAAACAUACAAUUAUACUACGUGAACAAAACCGACAGAGAGAAAAAAAAAAAAUAAAUAAA
Bemisia tabaci is the source of this 650-nucleotide non-coding RNA. Lineage: Eukaryota; Metazoa; Arthropoda; Insecta; Hemiptera; Aleyrodidae. The record is from RefSeq and is a predicted model, not a curated record.